AGAGUUUGAUCCUGGCUCAGAGCGAACGCUGGCGGCAGGCCUAACACAUGCAAGUCGAACGGACUCUUCGGAGUUAGUGGCGGACGGGUGAGUAACACGUGGGAACGUGCCUUUAGGUUCGGAAUAGCUCCUGGAAACGGGUGGUAAUGCCGAAUGUGCCCUUCGGGGGAAAGAUUUAUCGCCUUUAGAGCGGCCCGCGUCUGAUUAGCUAGUUGGUGAGGUAAUGGCUCACCAAGGCGACGAUCAGUAGCUGGUCUGAGAGGAUGACCAGCCACAUUGGGACUGAGACACGGCCCAAACUCCUACGGGAGGCAGCAGUGGGGAAUCUUGCGCAAUGGGCGAAAGCCUGACGCAGCCAUGCCGCGUGAAUGAUGAAGGUCUUAGGAUUGUAAAAUUCUUUCACCGGGGACGAUAAUGACGGUACCCGGAGAAGAAGCCCCGGCUAACUUCGUGCCAGCAGCCGCGGUAAUACGAAGGGGGCUAGCGUUGCUCGGAAUUACUGGGCGUAAAGGGCGCGUAGGCGGACAUUUAAGUCAGGGGUGAAAUCCCAGAGCUCAACUCUGGAACUGCCUUUGAUACUGGGUGUCUUGAGUGUGAGAGAGGUAUGUGGAACUCCGAGUGUAGAGGUGAAAUUCGUAGAUAUUCGGAAGAACACCAGUGGCGAAGGCGACAUACUGGCUCAUUACUGACGCUGAGGCGCGAAAGCGUGGGGAGCAAACAGGAUUAGAUACCCUGGUAGUCCACGCCGUAAACGAUGAUUGCUAGUUGUCGGGCUGCAUGCAGUUCGGUGACGCAGCUAA
Molecule: ribosomal RNA, 800 nt
Filed under: uncultured bacterium
Lineage: Bacteria
Description: bacterial SSU rRNA
Rfam family: Bacterial small subunit ribosomal RNA
Source: RNAcentral